CCUACGGGAGGCUGCAGUGGGGAAUAUUGCGCAAUGGGCGAAAGCCUGACGCAGCGACGCCGCGUGAGGGAUGAAGGUCUUCGGAUCGUAAACCUCUGUCAGCAGGGAAGAACGGUCACUGUGCUAAUCAGCAGUGAAUUGACGGUACCUGCAAAGGAAGCACCGGCUAACUCCGUGCCAGCAGCCGCGGUAAUACGGAGGGUGCGAGCGUUAAUCGGAAUUACUGGGCGUAAAGCGCUCGUAGGCGGUAUGUCAAGUCAAGGGGGAAAUCCCCGCGCUCAACGUGGGAACUGCCUUUGAAACUGGCAAACUGGAGUGUGUGAGAGGAUAGUGGAAUUCCAGGGGGAGGAGUGAAAUCCGUAGAGAUCGGGAGGAACAUCAGUGGCGAAGGCGACUAUCUGGCACAUAACUGACGCUGAGGAGCGAAAGCGUGGGUAGCAAACAGGAUUAGAUACCCGUGUAGUC
Molecule: ribosomal RNA, 465 nt
Filed under: uncultured bacterium
Lineage: Bacteria
Description: partial 16S ribosomal RNA
Rfam family: Bacterial small subunit ribosomal RNA
Source: RNAcentral